This is a non-coding RNA of Podarcis lilfordi (Lilford's wall lizard), 70 nucleotides long. The record is from the annotation of a GenBank genome assembly. Lineage: Eukaryota; Metazoa; Chordata; Lepidosauria; Squamata; Lacertidae.
GCAGUAGCUCAGUGGCAGGGACAUAUGCUUUUCAUGCAGAAGGUCCCAGGUUCAAUCCCUGUUAUCUCCA